This is a long non-coding RNA of Mauremys reevesii (Reeves's turtle), 209 nucleotides long. RefSeq lists it as uncharacterized. The transcript has 3 exons. The record is from RefSeq and is a predicted model, not a curated record. Lineage: Eukaryota; Metazoa; Chordata; Testudines; Geoemydidae.
CCAGAGAAGAAGCAGCUCAGAUCUCACUCACUCCUGUCCCUGGAUGAUGCUGAGGUGGUGACUAACCUCCUUUUCCCUGUGGGACAAGGGCAAUUUGGAUAUGGAUGAGACUCAGUUAUCACUCCCCAGGUGACAGGACUGUGGAAUUCAAGCUGACCUACUAAAUAUGCCCAUCCAGCAUAUUGUACACAAAGAAGAAUAAAAGAGAC